UACGGGGGGGGCAAGCGUUGUUCGGAAUUACUGGGCGUAAAGGGCGCGUAGGCGGUUUGAUAAGUCAGCUGUGAAAACCACGGGCUUAACUCGUGGCCUGCAGUUGAGACUGUCUGGCUUGAGUGUGGGAGAGGAGGGUGGAAUUCCUGGUGUAGCGGUGAAAUGCGUAGAUAUCAGGAGGAACACCGGUGGCGAAGGCGGCUCUCUGGACCACAACUGACGCUGAGGCACGAAAGCUAGGGGAGCGAACAGG
This 253-nucleotide ribosomal RNA is filed under the name uncultured bacterium. RNAcentral describes it as "partial 16S ribosomal RNA". It matches the Rfam family "Bacterial small subunit ribosomal RNA", at positions 524 to 776 of the family's 1533-position model. The record is from RNAcentral.